GGGUUGUGAGGUUAAGCGACUAAGCGUACACGGUGGAUGCCCUGGCAGUCAGAGGCGAUGAAGGACGUGCUAAUCUGCGAUAAGCGCCGGUAAGGUGAUAUGAACCGUUAUAACCGGCGAUUUCCGAAUGGGGAAACCCAGUGUGAUUCGUCACACUAUCAUUAACUGAAUCCAUAGGUUAAUGAGGCGAACCGGGGGAACUGAAACAUCUAAGUACCCCGAGGAAAAGAAAUCAACCGAGAUUCCCCCAGUAGCGGCGAGCGAACGGGGAGGAGCCCAGAGCCUGAAUCAGCAUGUGUGUUAGUGGAAGCGUCUGGAAAGGCGCGCGAUACAGGGUGACAGCCCCGUACACAAAAGCGCAUGUGUUGUGAGCUCGAUGAGUAGGGCGGGACACGUGGUAUCCUGUCUGAAUAUGGGGGGACCAUCCUCCAAGGCUAAAUACUCCUGACUGACCGAUAGUGAACCAGUACCGUGAGGGAAAGGCGAAAAGAACCCCGGCGAGGGGAGUGAAAAAGAACCUGAAACCGUGUACGUACAAGCAGUGGGAGCACAGGUUUACCUGUGUGACUGCGUACCUUUUGUAUAAUGGGUCAGCGACUUAUAUUCUGUAGCAAGGUUAACCGUAUAGGGGAGCCGGAGGGAAACCGAGUCUUAAUUGGGCGUUAAGUUGCAGGGUAUAGACCCGAAACCCGGUGAUCUAGCCAUGGGCAGGUUGAAGGUUGGGUAACACUAACUGGAGGACCGAACCGACUAAUGUUGAAAAAUUAGCGGAUGACCUGUGGCUGGGGGUGAAAGGCCAAUCAAACCGGGAGAUAGCUGGUUCUCCCCGAAAGCUAUUUAGGUAGCGCCUCGUGAAUUCA
This 860-nucleotide ribosomal RNA is filed under the name Salmonella enterica subsp. enterica serovar Paratyphi B var. L(+) tartrate +. RNAcentral's name for it is "partial 23S ribosomal RNA". It matches the Rfam family "Bacterial large subunit ribosomal RNA", at positions 1 to 892 of the family's 2925-position model. Lineage: Bacteria; Pseudomonadati; Pseudomonadota; Gammaproteobacteria; Enterobacterales; Enterobacteriaceae. The record is from RNAcentral.